UGGGGAAUAUUGCACAAUGGGCGCAAGCCUGAUGCAGCAACGCCGCGUGAACGAUGAAGGUCUUCGGAUCGUAAAGUUCUGUUGCAGGGGAAGAUAAUGACGGUACCCUGUGAGGAAGCCACGGCUAACUACGUGCCAGCAGCCGCGGUAAUACGUAGGGGGCUAGCGUUAUCCGGAUUUACUGGGCGUAAAGGGUGCGUAGGUGGUCUUUCAAGUCGGUGGUUAAAGGCUACGGCUCAACCGUAGUUAGCCUCCGAAACUGGAAGACUUGAGUGCAGGAGAGGAAAGUGGAAUUCCCAGUGUAGCGGUGAAAUGCGUAGAUAUUGGGAGGAACACCAGUAGCGAAGGCGGCUUUCUGGACUGCAACUGACACUGAGGCACGAAAGCGUGGGUAGCAAACAGG
RNAcentral lists this ribosomal RNA (403 nucleotides) under Verrucomicrobiota bacterium. RNAcentral describes it as "Verrucomicrobia bacterium partial 16S ribosomal RNA". It matches the Rfam family "Bacterial small subunit ribosomal RNA", at positions 355 to 776 of the family's 1533-position model. Lineage: Bacteria; Pseudomonadati; Verrucomicrobiota. The record is from RNAcentral.